AAGAUUCGACCUUCGGGUCUAUCUUCUCUUCAGCUGUGCGCUUCGGCUGCACGCUGUUGAAUCUCACACACCUGUGCACACUUCGGUUGCAGUCGGUUAAUUCUGGCUGCUUCCCGCUUUUACAUUUAACUACAAAGUCUAGAAUGUCUAAUACUAUAAAAAUAA
RNAcentral lists this unclassified non-coding RNA (165 nucleotides) under soil metagenome. RNAcentral's name for it is "partial internal transcribed spacer 1". The record is from RNAcentral.